This 393-nucleotide long non-coding RNA is filed under the name Androctonus crassicauda. Lineage: Eukaryota; Metazoa; Arthropoda; Arachnida; Scorpiones; Buthidae. The record is from RNAcentral.
UGAAAAAAGAGGAAAGUAUGGGCUCGAGAAUGGAUUCUCAGGUGUGGCCAAUUAGGUGCCUCUUCCAAAUUUCUGCGUGAGGUUGAAAGUGAAGGUAAGAAUACAUUUAAAAACUACCUACGAUUGACCUCUAUUCAAUUUGAUGAACUUUUAAGACAUGUUAAAUCUAAAAUUCAAAAAUGUGUCAACGAAUCUGAUGGUUUCAGCUUCGCUCCACUUACGCGAUCGUCGUUUACUGCUUUCCGCCAUCUUAAAAACUUCCAAUCGUCUGCCACUUGGUCCGAGUAUUUUGGUUAUCAUCCAAGUUUACUCUACUUGGAUGAAAUGGUCCGAGUGGAUGCGCACGCAUCGUCCGAGUGAACUCGAUCAGAGUGUACUCUGAUCGUGUCAACC